Molecule: ribosomal RNA, 300 nt
Filed under: uncultured bacterium
Lineage: Bacteria
Description: bacterial SSU rRNA
Rfam family: Bacterial small subunit ribosomal RNA
Source: RNAcentral
AACGAACGCUGGCGGCAGGCCUAACACAUGCAAGUCGAGCGCCCGUAGCAAUACGGGAGCGGCAGACGGGUGAGUAACACGUGGGAACGUGCCCAAAGGUACGGAACAACUCCGGGAAACUGGGAGCUAAUACCGUAUGUGCCCGAAAGGGGAAAGAUUUAUCGCCUUUGGAUCGGCCCGCGUCUGAUUAGCUAGUUGGUGAGGUAAUGGCUCACCAAGGCGACGAUCAGUAGCUGGCUGAGAGGAUGAUCAGCCACACUGGGACUGAGGACACGGCCCAGACUCCUACGGGAGGCAGCA